UGGGGAAUUUUGGACAAUGGGGGAAACCCUGAUCCAGCCAUCCCGCGUGUGCGAUGAAGGCCUUCGGGUUGUAAAGCACUUUUGGCAGGAAAGAAACGUCGCGGGUUAAUACCCCGCGAAACUGACGGUACCUGCAGAAUAAGCACCGGCUAACUACGUGCCAGCAGCCGCGGUAAUACGUAGGGUGCAAGCGUUAAUCGGAAUUACUGGGCGUAAAGCGUGCGCAGGCGGUUCGGAAAGAAAGAUGUGAAAUCCCAGAGCUUAACUUUGGAACUGCAUUUUUAACUACCGGGCUAGAGUGUGUCAGAGGGAGGUGGAAUUCCGCGUGUAGCAGUGAAAUGCGUAGAUAUGCGGAGGAACACCGAUGGCGAAGGCAGCCUCCUGGGAUAACACUGACGCUCAUGCACGAAAGCGUGGGGAGCAAACAGGAUUAGAUACCCUGGUAGUCCACGCCCUAAACGAUGUCAACUAGCUGUUGGGGCCUUCGGGCCUUGGUAGCGCAGCUAACGCGUGAAGUUGACCGCCUGGGGAGU
RNAcentral lists this ribosomal RNA (533 nucleotides) under uncultured bacterium. RNAcentral's name for it is "partial 16S ribosomal RNA". It matches the Rfam family "Bacterial small subunit ribosomal RNA", at positions 355 to 881 of the family's 1533-position model. The record is from RNAcentral.